AACAAGUACUUUCCUUUGCUUUCAACGCAUGGUAUAAAUAAUAAUGGAACAGAAAUGUGACAGGUGUUUCUCUUGUUCCCAGUAGCAAAGUUAAAGAAAAAGGCUCAGGAAUGGGGCGUAAAUGCUCGUGUAAAGAAGACAUUAGGUUUAAGAGCCGUUUGUCAUUAGUUUUAUAGCCUAACUACAGUAACCAGCUUUCCGAAUGGUUGUAGAGGGUGAAUGGAAAACACAAGCCUGGGAACGGAGCAACAUGAACCAGAGUAAGAAUGAACAAGCCGGUCAGUAAUGCAAAGCUAGUUCUAAUAUUAUAGAAGUUUCAAGUAUCAAAUUAAAGAAGUCUAAUACCAAAUUAUUUUCCAGAAAACUAUCCUCUAAAUGUGGAUAAGCUAUUUCAUUAAAAAAAGAAAAACUAUCUACCUAUGGAACAUUGAUUUGCCUAAAAGGCAAUCAUAAUAAUAAAAAAGAACAAUAAAGAGCAAAUCCCAAUAAAUUAGACUGGAAAGGGGUUUAG
Molecule: non-coding RNA, 511 nt
Organism: Schizosaccharomyces pombe (fission yeast)
Lineage: Eukaryota; Fungi; Ascomycota; Schizosaccharomycetes; Schizosaccharomycetales; Schizosaccharomycetaceae
Source: the annotation of a GenBank genome assembly